UUUACACUUUUGUAUUAUUAUUUAUACAAUAUUAGACUCUUUAUAUUAGGUAUGUGCAAAAGUUUUAGCUUUCUUUAGCAAUCUAAUAUAAUUCUAAUAUAAUUAUUUAAACUUUAAGUAAAUUCACACUUUUGUGUGUUUUGAAGAAAUAAUUUUGAAGUUUGUAUAAGGUAUUGUUUGUUUUAAUUUAUUAAUAAAUAUAAAACAUUACUGAAUACGAUAAUCUAUGAAAAGUUAUAUAUUUAACACUACAAGCAGUAUGGAUUUUUCAACAAAAAAGAAGUGUUAAAAAGUACAAUUUAAUUUACUGUAUUUUUAGUAAACUUGUUGUAUGUUACAAUGUUGCGUAAAUAUUGAUUUCGAUUGUUUAGAGUCAGUGAUUUUGAUAUAAGUGACCCAAUAUGCUCUGAAAUAUUGUAAAAAUUAGAGAUUGAUGAUUAUUGUAAGGAUUGUUGAUCGAAAAUUUAUCAUGGACAUAAGAAAAACUCGCAGUAGUUGAAAAACAAUUACUGAUUGUGAAUAAUUUGACUCACAAAAUAGAAUGGAAAAGACGAUUUAUUAGACAAAGAAGUUGGAAUAUUAUUUUACUACAUGACAACAGCAUGGCAAAGCCGCAUGUUGUUUUUUAUACUUGGCAAAAUUAUUUUUUACUUUGAGCUGGGAAAUUCUCCCAGCUUAUAUAGUGUAUUCACCCAACUUGGCGCCUUCGAAUUACUACUUAUUUUGAUCGAUGCAAUAUUCUUUAAUACUUUCAAGUGGCUAACGAGGAGAAGACUCCGACUGUGAAAUGAAAUUUUUAAUGAGACAUAGUGCGUUUAAAAGAGAGUAUGGGGUAUUGAAAAACUGUAAAUUGAUUAGCGUAAAUGGGUCUUGGUUCCUGAGAAAUUUGCAUCGAAAGUUGGGCAUUCGGCUGAUUGUACGGCAUUACCGACGGUGCACGGCCCGGCCGAACACCCGCCGGGCACCGGCCCGUCCUAAUCUUUUUUACAACGUUGAGACGAAAAUCGCUAUCUUCUAGUUAAAUCCGGUAGCUGAGGAUAGAGCGUCUCUGCCUCCGCCGAGAGUUCUCGGCUAUGGAUCAUCCUCUCACUUAAUUACUCGGCUCGAAAUUACAAGGUGGAGUGUUCUCCGUCUCCCGAGAAUUCUCGGGAUCGACGCCGUCAUUCCAAGAAUCUUUCGGAUUCGACAGGAAGCGCGACGAAAACAGAUCCGCCUCACGUACUGCGCACCGCCGAACUCAAGCACCAGCAAUUACCGCCCGCCGCGCCGCGCACUUACCGCGCCAUGAAACGCGAGCAUCUCGCCGCAGGGCAUUGCCCGCCGGCCCGUCACUGUACACCGCGACCGUCACCAAACAACACACGAGAUCGUCGAACAGCUGAUUCGAGCGAGAAUCACGUUUCCUUUGUAAAUAUACUGUAAAUACUGUACAUACGUUUUUAAUUUUCUCAAAUAUAUUAUAAUUUCUCGUA
Long non-coding RNA from Monomorium pharaonis (pharaoh ant), 1472 nucleotides. RefSeq lists it as uncharacterized. Lineage: Eukaryota; Metazoa; Arthropoda; Insecta; Hymenoptera; Formicidae. The transcript is spliced from 2 exons. The record is from RefSeq and is a predicted model, not a curated record.